AACCUUAAACGACAACUAAAACGAAACGGAAGGAGCAUAUGAAAUGAGGUGAACUCUCUCCAUGAGAGUGCACGUCAGCGCUCCUACAUCUGCCACAUCAGCACCUAUUAUUGUGUAUUUACAAAAAAAUAGGAAAAAAACCCAUUAAAAGUAAUUAGACUCUAUUUGUUCCAACUUUUACUGAAUGAAUCAAUUAAUGACAUUUCAGUUUUACCUGUUUCAUCUUCCAUCCGAUUCAUGCCCUUCGUCUUCUUUAUCGGAAUCUUAUUUGCCAAUCUUUCCAACUUCUUCGUCUUCAUAUUUUAUCAUCUUCUAUUUAAUUCAAAUUCGUUAUAAUUUUUUUUUAUUUAUUCACCUCCAUCAUCCUACGCCUACAUGUAAUUUCAGUGGUUAUGUCGCUUAGUGGUCUCGAUUCGUAUAGAUCUUCCCUGCUUUUGAAUGCAUAUAGAAUCGUUGGCGAUCAUCGGCCAGCCACUAACUGACUUGGUGCGAGCUCUGGCGAUGGUUGCGAAACGAGCUUUUCUUUCUUUUUUUUUGUUGGUGCCAUCAAAGCCAGAUUCCAUAAAAAUGGAGUUUAGGGUUCCACUUUGGUGAAGGGGUUAUUGUUAUGCCAAUGCAACUAACAAGUCAAAGCCAAGCUUGGAUGAAAUUUGUACGUUUAAUGUAUUUCCUUUCGAAUACCGAACAUUUUUACAGUAAGUUAAUUUUCACGACGAGUACAUUCAACGAGAAAUAAUAUAUCCUCCCAAAUACACUACU
Long non-coding RNA from Arabidopsis lyrata subsp. lyrata, 759 nucleotides. RefSeq lists it as uncharacterized. NCBI's taxonomy places the organism in Eukaryota, Viridiplantae, Streptophyta, Magnoliopsida, Brassicales, Brassicaceae. The transcript has 3 exons. The record is from RefSeq and is a predicted model, not a curated record.